Drosophila subpulchrella is the source of this 1141-nucleotide long non-coding RNA. RefSeq lists it as uncharacterized. The record is from RefSeq and is a predicted model, not a curated record. Lineage: Eukaryota; Metazoa; Arthropoda; Insecta; Diptera; Drosophilidae. The transcript is spliced from 2 exons.
GUAACUGCAAUAAGUAUUAAUACAAGUGCGAUAAAUAGUUGUCGCUGCGUAUGGCGAACACAAAGGGAGAAAAGCGACGUUGUUAUUCAAUCGAGGCUAAUCGUUCGAAAAUGGGUGCUUAUAAAACACUCAGUUGCGGUCAGCACAUUUACAUUGUUCUCACAAAUUAAUUGAAGUGAAUAAUAUUACUAUAUUGUACUUCAUCAGAUAUACUCACUUGAACUCAUCACUGUCCGGUAGAAUUUCGCCAUUCCGCAGCCACACGUAGCUGUAGGGCUCGUCGCAUUGGAUUGCGCAGCACAGAUCGAUCACCUCGCCCUCCAGCGAUUUAGUAAUCUCAGGCAGUGGUUCCGUGAUGACGGCGCGACGCCUCAGAAUCUCCGUAUUUGGUUCGUGGAAGGUGACUGCGGUGGAACUGAUCAGGGGAUCGUGGUCGCCGCUAAAGAUGCAGGUAUACAGGCCCUCGUCCUCUCGCGUCACAUUGUCCACGAUCAGCAGGGCCAUCGAUUCCUCUUCCUGCAGCAGAAUGUGCACUCGCUCCGACUCCUCCAGCUCCACGUUGUUGUGGUAGAACCUCACCGAGGGCACCGAGGAGCCCCGAUAGCCACUUGCCAGAGCCAUGCGUCCGCCAAUUGCUGUGGGAAUUAAGUCAGAUAGUAAUUCAGUUGAAAGCAAGUAAGCAUUUCUAUGAUCAUUAAGUCUGAGUUACUUCACAGAUUUGUAAAGCCAAGAGUGGGAAAUUGUUAGAAAGGAAUUCACUUAAAACUACAGAAUAAGCUUUUAAAUAAUCUCCAUUUAUCUCUUUAGUCUUAUAAAUGAAUCAAUCUUGUUUGAAGUAUUAUCUAAAAUAAAUUAAUGUAAAUAAAUUUGUGAUGAAGACAUUCCUUCUGUAUACAUUUUAACACGUAGAUCAAUAUUUUUUAAUAAUUCGAACCAAAGAACCUAAUACAAAUGGUUUUCAAACCCGUUUUAAAGAGCUAAGAUCGAUUCGGUUGCAAGAAAAUUUUCACCUCCAAAAACACAAUCAUCCAUAUUUUAAAAUCGGUUCAUAAAAAAAAAAUAACUUAAGAACUCUUUCAUCUUCACUUAAAAACGUAUCUUUUCAAAUAAAUAAGAAGACGAAAUCUCAAAAUGAGAUAAU